UACGUAGGGUGCGAGCGUUGUCCGGAAUUAUUGGGCGUAAAGAGCUCGUAGGCGGCUUGUCGCGUCGGAUGUGAAAGCCCGGGGCUUAACUCCGGGUCUGCAUUCGAUACGGGCAGGCUAGAGUUCGGUAGGGGAGAUCGGAAUUCCUGGUGUAGCGGUGAAAUGCGCAGAUAUCAGGAGGAACACCGGUGGCGAAGGCGGAUCUCUGGGCCGAUACUGACGCUGAGGAGCGAAAGCGUGGUGAGCGAACAGG
Molecule: ribosomal RNA, 253 nt
Filed under: uncultured bacterium
Lineage: Bacteria
Description: partial 16S ribosomal RNA
Rfam family: Bacterial small subunit ribosomal RNA
Source: RNAcentral